AGUUAGUUGACUCGGCUCAGGAUGAACGCUGGCGGCGUGCUUAACACAUGCAAGUCGAACGCUGAAGCUACCAGCUUGCUGGUGGUGGAUGAGUGGCGAACGGGUGAGUAACACGUGAGUAACCUGCCCUUGACUCUGGGAUAAGCCUGGGAAACUGGGUCUAAUACUGGAUACGACCAUUGGCCGCAUGGCCGGGUGGUGGAAAGAUUUUUGGUUGGGGAUGGACUCGCGGCCUAUCAGCUUGUUGGUGAGGUAGUGGCUCACCAAGGCGACGACGGGUAGCCGGCCUGAGAGGGUGACCGGCCACACUGGGACUGAGACACGGCCCAGACUCCUACGGGAGGCAGCAGUGGGGAAUAUUGCACAAUGGGCGCAAGCCUGAUGCAGCGACGCCGCGUGAGGGAUGACGGCCUUCGGGUUGUAAACCUCUUUCAGUUGGGAAGAAGCCUUUAGGGGUGACGGUACUAGCAGAAGAAGCGCCGACUAACUACGUG
Molecule: ribosomal RNA, 494 nt
Filed under: uncultured Actinomycetales bacterium
Lineage: Bacteria; Bacillati; Actinomycetota; Actinomycetes; Actinomycetales
Description: bacterial SSU rRNA
Rfam family: Bacterial small subunit ribosomal RNA
Source: RNAcentral